RNAcentral lists this long non-coding RNA (41281 nucleotides) under Gossypium barbadense (sea-island cotton). RNAcentral's name for it is "long non-coding RNA (GBAR_LNC021222)". Lineage: Eukaryota; Viridiplantae; Streptophyta; Magnoliopsida; Malvales; Malvaceae. The record is from RNAcentral.
UUGAGGCAGCUGAGUCUGUUCCUCUAUCACCAUCGGAUGAUUUCUCGAAAGGGUUGAAAGCUUUGUCUAGGAGGAGUCGGCGAAUAACUCCACCAUCACCCAGGAUUAAUGCUCCUGUUCAAUUCAAAAGGCCUCCUCUAUUUCCUCGACGUCCUCCGCCGCCACGGUCACCACCACCUCCAUGUCUGUGGCGUCCACCUACUCCGUUUGGAUAAGACGAUUGUUUCCCAGGUUACACACAGUUGAUGAAGCUCUCAUGUCAUCAGCUUUUGUUCGUAAAUUGUAAAACUUUAAAGUGCUUGUAUGUUAGCAGCAAAUACCAACUUUGUUUAGCUCUAAUAAUAAUUAAAUUUGUAAUGAUAAAAAUAAUAAUAUGUUAAAUAUAAAAAUGAAUAAAUGUAUGCAUCACUUUCACUUAAACACUCGUUAAGAAAUUGUUUAAUAAGUAUCCCUUGUCUUCCUUUCCCAUCUCUUUGAAGUCUCCCGACCAUCUCUAUAUGCAGCAUAAAUGAUGAGCAGCUCCCCAUCAACGAGGACCUGGGUCCUCAAAGGCCAACUCAAAAACAACAAUCUCUACGUCUAUGGAGCCUGGACUGCAGAAACUGAGAAACCUCCAACUCCAAGCUCCCUGGUUCGGUGCAACUUGGACUUUCUGGGAAGGGCAUUAAAUACCCAACCACCAUAUUUAUUUUGGCCACUCCACUCCAGUAAUCAUUUGACUCUGGCAGCCAAACCAAUACGAAAGUCAAGUUGAUGGGAUGGGGGUCAAAAUUCAUGCACCAAGCAAUCUACGCUGCUAAACCCAAGACCAUUCUUCAGCUUGAUGAGCCCAAUGACCAGAGCCAAUGCUGUACGACUAGCUCCAUGAAACCCAAAAUGCAGCAAGAAACUCAUUGUAACGCCCCACUUUUGUUGUGUUUAGAUUGUUAAAGUAUGUUAAAUAAUUUAAUUUGGUAUGUGGUUAAGUGUCUAAAUGUUUGUUUUAGGUCUUGAGUUUAAUUCUUUUAUUUUGGAUUUUUUUUUAUUAAUUUUGAUAUUAUGUUAAGCUUGACUUUUUGGGCUUAUCUUUUAUUUUUAUUAGAUUGUUGAUAAGUAUAAGCUUACUGGUAUACUAAACCGUCCAUUAUCCUCUCUCCCCCUUUCACGUUUUUUAUCCCUGUUAUUGUUUUCUAUUUGGUUCUUACCUUUUUUCUUUUUUCUUUUUUUCUCUUUGAGCUUUUUCCUUUUCUUUUGCUUUGAAUCUCCGAUUUCGAUUAUAAUCCAAGGAUAGCGUAAGUUUUGUUAAAUUAUUUUGUUUUUAUUUUAGUGUUAAUUUAACUGAUAAAAUUUUAUACUAUUCAAAUGAUGAAAUUAUAUUUUUAUUAUUAUAAAAACUAAAAUUUAAUUUCAACCUUUCUAAAAAUAUUUUCUACCGUACCGUUCAUAAACAUGGCAUCAUAAGUCGAACAAAAUUUAUAUAAAUUUAAAAAAAAUUUAAACACGGUUAUGGAAUCAGAUUAUGCUUCCACGUGACAUUGAGGAAUUGUAUGUUCGUAACUGCUCUUUAUGUUGUCAUGAAAACUACCCGCUUUUCUCCAGGUUUGUCCUAACCUCUCUUACAUAUCUUGAAAUAAGGGAUGAAAAAAUUAUGAAAAAAUUGUUCUCUCCAAACUGCGUGCCGUUAAAUUUGGAAGUGCUUGAGGUUUCAUUACGUGUCCAACUGGAGGAAAUAAUAGCAUUAGAUUUUGAAUGGGACGGAAGAGGAAUGCCUACCAUGGAAUUUUGCCUUCUAAAAUUAAACAUACUUACCUGAAUUGAAGAGUAUUUGCAAUGUUGAUGCAGUGGUGGUUUGUGAAUCUCUUAAAUGGAUUGACGUAAUAGAUUGUCGGAAAAUAAAAAGUAUUUAGUCUUCCCCAAAUCUGAUCAUCUUCACCGGCUCUCUCAUUUUCUAUUUAUGUAGCGGGAGAGGAGUGACAUUGGCAUUACUUAUAUUUUCUUGUUUCUAGGCAACUUUGAUGAAUGCAAUUGCAAGCUGUAUUAUAUAUUUGAACCAAACCUCAUUUGUAAUAAGCUUUGGUUAUUGUAUUUUGAUGCUUGUUUCUGGUGUCUUCCUUUUCCAUUCAAUACUUUUCCUUCAUAAUAUUCUAUAUCAACAAAACGCUAUACAUGUUGGAAAAAUUAUGAUAUUUCAAAGGAAUCAAAUCUCAUAUUCUUAAACAAAGAUUUUGAGACAUUUGUUUAUAAAUCUUUAUACUUCGUGAGUUAGAGGUAAUCAAGUUGAGAAGGUAGAUUAUUGUGCAUUAGAUUCAAAAAGUUAUUGUAAUGGAUUUUUGAAUCUUCUAGUUUUUAAGAAUAUAUUUUUUUUAGAAUUUUUAGAGUCCAAGAAAAAUAAAAUUUUUAGCUAAUAAAACUUAUAUUUAUCCAAGUUAUAAAUAACUUAAUCCAUUGAAAUUAUUUUUAGUUAAAUCCAAAUUCAUUGAACUAUUUUCAAACUAUUUCACUUACCUUUGCUAUUUUUAGUCAAUAAAAUUCUUAUAUAUAUGGUUGGAAGCCAAUGCAACUUUUGGAUAAAAGCCAAAUUUAUCCUUUAAAAGAUAUAUUUUUUUUUGGAAGAUUCAAGAAUAUAAAAUAAAGAAAUAGGAUAUUAUCUAUAAGACUAGAUAUUAUACAUGAAUAUUCUAGUUUUUAAAUAUUUGUAAAAUUAAUAGUAAGGAUAUUGACAUGUAUCAACAAUCCAACGGCCACUAAACUCUAUAAAUAGGGGUAAGGGCUUUCAUUCUUGUAAUGAUGUAAGAAAGAAGUGUGUAUCAUAUUAUAAUUGUAUUGUGUAUUAAUAAGAGUGUUUUCUUCUUUUGUAAUUGUAAGUCUCAGUUAAACCUUAAGGGUUUGUUUGGUUGGGUGUAAUGGCUAAUCCAUUACACCCCGAAUCGGUGGCCCCACUGAAUACAGCGUUUGGUUCGUUGUUUUCUCUAAUACUGUUCUAAUCCGUUGCGGACGGAUUCCGCAUUUUGGCUGCUUCACCACUGAUUUGUAAUCCCUUGCAACAGCAAAGAUUAGCUAAUCGGUGUCUUAUUUACCCUCCCCUUGCCGAAAUCGCCUCCAGCCGACCCUCUCCCUCCCAACAUAAACAGAACGUGCCAACGAACCAAACCUCUACCCGCUCCCGAUUUCAGCUUUGCAUCCUUCUCCGACUCAAUGGUGUCAGAUCUCCGGACGGCUUGAAUCAGUAAUCUCUGCCAAACUUAUAACCUAUUUCUUUCCUCUUUGCAUGCGAUUGUUUCAGUCCUUGGUAAAUCGGCGUUUCGUUUCUUGCCGGUUAUGGUUUUUUUUUCAUUGUUUGUUUGUUUGUCCUGAAUUACAGGUUCUUUGCUCCAACAUUUUUCAUAUUCUGUCUGCUUUAUGUUUCUUUAUUUUGCUUACUGUCUUGGAUGAUUUUUCUUGACAGUCUUGUUAAUAUCAUUUUAUUUUGCUGCUGACUGUCUGCUUUAUGUUUCUUUCCAUAGGUUUAGUUGUUUGAUGAAAGUACUGGGGUUAACUGAUGCAUAAUCAAAUUUAGACGUUGCUUAAAUCACAAAUUUUAUUUAUUUGUUUGGUUUUCUUUCUUGAAAUUCAAUUCUUUUACUUGGUAACAAAUAGUGCAGCUUAGAAAGGAAUAUGAUUUGUUGAUGUUCUAUUUCUGUAGUGGUUUUUUGUUUCUCUAUUUUCUGUUUCUGUACCAUGUUUUGUUCCUUUUACCAUUUUUGCUUUUGUAGCUUAAUUUAUUAUCAAUGAUCAGCAUGUUCUCUUGUGUAGCCAUUUUAUUUAGCAUGUUUUGUUUCUCUAUCAUUUACACACUGUUGUUACUGAAAAUUAAAUCUAAAUUCAACCGAAUGACAUGGAAUUAUACAACAACUAACUUCAAAUAAAAACAUGAUUUUAAUCCAUUGUUAGAAGUUAAUAAUCCUUUUCCUCACUUAUAAACCAUGAACGCAUAUCAGUAGUGGGACAUUUGUAGAGAAAUUAAUAGAUCUGUUCCAACUGAUAUUCCUAGAGGUCUCAUAUUCUUGUUUGUGUUCCAACUUGUCAAGGAAAGGCUAGAUUUUGUAUUUCCAUUUAAAUAAUCUUCUUGACCUUAAUUUGUUUGUCAUUUGGCAUUGUGCAUUGUUAAAGGCUUGUUGUCAGUAUUUCAUAAUUUUCCUUAUAAUUUUCCCAUCCAUUAAUUUUUGGUUUUCUAUAAUUCUUUAAUAUUGUCUCAAGUUCCCAUCUGCAGUUUAAUAUAUUGAUUAUGUAAUCCACACAUCAUUAUCUAUCAAACUAAAGCAGUAGAGACAAGAUUGUGAAAUAUUAAAACUAGUCCAACCAGCUCAUGAUAUUGUUAUGAUGAAAGUACUUGCUGUGCAUUUUUCUUAGUCAUUUAAAUGAAUAAACUCAUUUAACAAUCUUGUGCUUUUCCAUGACAGAAAUAAGAAUAUUAUUUAUCUUUUGUAAUUAAAUUAUCUUUGAAAGGCUGUAUGAGAAUAUGUAUGUAAGCAAACUCUAAUUGCACUGGUAUUCCAUUUUCAUUUUUGUGAAAACAUGUUUAUUUUUCUAGUCAAAUGCCUAGAUGAUGGUUCUUGUCUUUAGAUUUCAAGGUUGUUAAAUCAGAAAACAACAUGCAUCUGUUAUUUAUUCAGACCGAACAUAAAUCGGUUAUGGUUUUUUUUUCAUUGUUUGUUUGUUUGUCCUGAAUUACAGGUUCUUUGUUGCUGCAGUUCAUCAUCGGUCUCCUCUCCGAUUUCCUCAUUACAGGUUAGUUUCCCCCCAUUGCUUGUGGCUAUACAAUUGUUUGCAAUGGCUAUAUAAUUUAUUUGCAGUGGCUCCAUCUGCUUGAUCAGUCAGAAAUGAAAACAAAGGACUAUGAAUGCUCAUGUCCUGUUUGGAUUUGUAUGCUUUUUGAUAUUUUUGUUGAAUAGAAACACUCUGAUAUUCUUUCAUGGCUACUGCAAUGUUGAAGUGCAUAUAAUGAGCUCUAGAAUGUCAUGCAUAGUCCUGGUGCUGUUAAUUUUGAAUGCUUUGAAAUGGCUUUGUUAAUUUGGUACUGUUAAUGCUUUGAUACAAAUGAAAUGGUGCAACUGUCGAAUAUUUAUGGUUAUAUGUCUACCUUAAAAGAUGUUUUAUAAAUUGUUUUCAUUCAUUAAAAAAACCAGGUUAUAAUUUAAAAAGGUGGUCAUAUGUUAUAUUCCUUUGUCCCCAAAACCAUUAAUGAGUACUAUAUAAUUUAAAAAGGGCAUCAAACUUUUGUACCAAUUCUUGUAUUAAAAAGGAAAUUCAUGGACAGAAUGUUGUUAUAAAAAGGAGCAAUAUAUAAUUUGGUACUUGUGUUUUUUCUUUUUUUAAUCUAUUGUUUGUAUUUGAUAAAUAUUUUGAUACUUAAAGAUAAUGGUGUACCAAUUCUUCGUUAUAAUUUAAAAAGGACAUCAAACUUUAGUACCAAUUCUUGUAUUAAUAUCAAUUAUGAUAAAAAUAUAACGAUUUUGAUACUUUCAAAGAUCUCGUUCAAAUUUAAUCAUUAUUAAAAUAAAUUGUGCUAACUUUAAGCUGAAAUAAAAAUUUUAUUUAUGUUAUUUAAGGUAUAUUAAAAUAUAAUUAAAAUCAUUUUGAUUAUAUAAUAUUUUUAAUUGAAAUAUAAUUAAAAUCAUUUUGAUUAUAUAAUAUUAAUAUAAAACUAUACAUUUAAAUUGAAAAUAUAAAUAAAACAUGGCAUAACAAUUAAAUUUUAAUAUUAAUAGAAAAAAUAUUUAUUAUUGAUAUUAAUAAUUCAAAAUUUUUUUCCAUAAUAUUUUUACCUGUGUGUUAUAAAUUAUUUAUUACUUAUGGAGUGUUUACCUCUUUAUUAUUAUUUGAUUACAAAAUAUUAUCAUUUUCUAUAUGUUAAACACAAUAUAUUAUUAAUUCAUUUUAUUUAUCUUUAAAAUAUUAAAUUUGUUAAUAGCUAUCAAUCAUUUAUGCAAAUUUUUACUAAUAAUUUUACUAAUUAAAAAUAAACACGUGCCAUCUUGAUUCUUUUAGAUUCAAGUUAUCCCCCAUAUAAUCCUAUCAACUCCCCCAAAAUUAAUAACCUAGUUGCUCGCAUUUUUAAUUUGUUUGUCUCUCAAUUAUUUUUAUAAAAUUUAAUUUGCAUCUUCAAUUCUUUGAUAGUGUGUUCUAAAUUAAUAUUGUUUAAUUUUUUUUAUAAAGUGUAAUUGCAACUUCAACUCUUUGAUAGUGUGUUCUAAUUUUAAUAUGUUGCAGUAAUGGCUCGUCUGCCUUUAAUUGCACAAAGUGUGAGGCGAAAAAGAAUUGGUAUUGCAUUGACAUUAUGGUUGGAACUCUGUAGAAUUGCGAUUUGGUUCUUAUUUAGAAUGGGUGCCAGCCUUAGCCUACAUACUUAUAGACCAAGGAUUAGGUCCUAUACCUUAGAUUUUUAUGCAAAACGGGAUUAUGUGAAAAGGCUUGUAUAUGCUAGUGACGAGACCUGUGUUUCACAAGUUAGGAUGAAUAGAACCGCCUUUUUUAAAUUAUGUGAGAUGUUAGAAUCAAUAGGGGGAUUGAAGUCGUCAAGAAACAUACUGGUUGAUGAGCAAGUAGCAAUGUUUUUACAUAUCAUCUCCCAUCACCUGAAAAAUCGAGUUAUCAAGCAUCACUUUAGAAGGUCCGGGGAAACUGUUAGCAGAGCAUUUCAUAGUGUUUUAAAUGCUGUCAUACGCUUACAAGAUGUCUUAUUUAAAAAGCUGGAGCCAAUUACAGCUGAUUCUUCUGACACAAGGUGGAAAUGGUUUAAGGUAUUAGACUGAGUUUUAUAUAUAGCUUGUACAACAUUUACUUGACUUAGAUUUAAGUUAGUAUUCUAACUCAAGGUUUUAUAUCAUGUGAUAUAGAAUUGCUUAGGUGCUCUUGAUGGAACCCACAUCAAGAUUAGGGUGCCAAAAAUAGAUAAAGCUAGAUAUCGAACCCGAAAAGGGGACAUAGCAACAAACAUGCUAGGUGUUUGUACACCUGAGAUGCAAUUUGUUUAUGUUCUUCCUGGUUGGGAAGGUUCAGUUGCCGAUGGACGGGUGCUUCGAGAUGCCAUUAGUAGAAGACAUAGACUAAAAGUUCCUCAUGGUACAGUGUAUAGUUAGAGGAAUUUGAAUUAUUCAUUUAGCCUACAUACUUUGUUUGCUGAAUUAAUCAUGUUGGGUAAAAUUUAUUUUAUAGGUUGUUAUUAUCUAGUUGAUGCUGGAUACACAAAUUCUGAGGGAUUUCUUGCACCAUUUAGAGGACAGCGAUAUCAUCUGAAGGACUGGCGUCAGGGUUAUCAGCCAAGUUCCCCGCAAGAGUUUUUUAAUAUGAAACAUGCCUCAGCACGUAAUGUCAUUGAAAGAUGCUUUGGCUUAUUAAAACUUAGAUGGGGAAUACUUAGGAGUCCAUCGUUUUAUCCUGUACGAGUGCACAAUAGAAUUAUUAUAGCAUGUUGUUUGCUACAUAAUUUUAUUCGAACUCAUAUGAGUAUUGAUCCCAUUGAAGCGGAGGUGGGAGAAGGAUUACCUACUAAUGUGGUGGAUGACGAUGAACAGAAUAUCACAAAUAUUCAUCCAUCGGAUGCUUGGGCUACUUGGAGGAUGGAACUAGCCACCCAAAUGUUCGAUGAAUGGCAAGCAUCUAGAAAUUAGUUAGGUUUAGGGACAAAUUGAGUUUGAAUUGAUUUGUUGAUGUUAUUUUAUGUAUCUAGUUUAUGAAACUUUGGUGGUCUUUGAUACAAAUUUUGUAUUGUACUAAACUUGGUUGAAUUAUAAUUUAAUUAUCUUUUCAUUCAGCAUGUGUUAUAAAUUUAAAUUUAGUAUUGAACUACCGAUAUAAUAUUAUAAACUGUUAACCUUUUGAUUCAUGAUAUUCAAAAUAGUAAAAUAAUGUUAAUUUGUUUUUUUUCUUAAGAACAAUAUGUCAGGUGUUCCACCAACGGGUGCUUCUUCUCAAGCUUCUCGAGGGAGCAAAAGAAAAUGGGUUCCAGAAGAGGAUGCAGCCUUGGUUUCUUGCAUGGUGGAUUUACACAAUGUAGAAGCAUUUAAUGCUGAUACCGGGUUCAAAGCCGGUUAUUUGAACGAGCUAGAGAAAAUGCUAGAAAAGGCUUUACCAACAGCAAUGUUGAAGGCGAAACCAAAUAUUGAAUCUCGGAUUAGGUGCCUAAAAAGGGAAUGGUCAGUCGUCUACGACAUGCUUAAUGGCCAAAACAACAGUGGUUUUGGUUGGGACGAGCAUAGGCAGCUCGUUGUUGCUGAAGAUGCAGUUUGGGAAUCCUAUGUAAAGGUAAAAUGUAUUUCAAGUAUUCAUUUGUUUUUUUACAAAACUUAUAACUAAUAUGAUUUCCUCAUUUUUUUAGAGUCACAAAGAAGCCUCUCAGUUCAGACAUCGUACUUUCCCUUACUACAACCAGCUUACUGCGAUAUACGCAAGAGAUCGGGCGACUGGGAAAGACGCUCAAACAACUGCUGAUGUUCUUGAAGAAAUACAUGCUGAGGAUGAACGUACUACAGAUAUGAAUGAAGAGAGAAACACAUUCUAUGACUGCGAAGCUGAGGUCUCUUUAGACGACAUGGAUGUUUCUGGUACAGAUCCGCGAGGAGAUAGAGACCAAGGGGGUUCCUCAUCUUCAAACAAGAGAAAGAAGAAAUCUGAUGCUCGUGAUAAUGUGUAUUCUUCAUUUGAGGAGGCUGCCACCUUAUUGGGGGAAAAAAUCCAGGCCGUUGGCGAUAAAAUCAGUAUGAGUAUUGCCUCCGAGGUGGUAGUUCAGCAGAAGUCAGAAUAAAAGAUGGAAGAGAAAGCUUCAAAUUUAUAUUCAGCCUUAUGGUCAAUUGAAGGUUUAACCGACGAUCAGCGGUAUAAUGCUUUGAGUAAAAUUCCCGAUCAUCCAACUCAAAUGAUCGUUUUCUUCAGUUUACCUUCUGUUGCCCGAUUGGAAUGGGUCAGAAGAUUUCUUUCUCACCAUUAAAUAUCAAUGUUCAAACUUUUUGAUGUUGUAAAACUAUAUAACAUAUGGAUUACGAUGUACAAUUUCAUUUUCAUCUAACUUUUUCUUAGUAUAAGUUAAUUAUAUUUAUGCAGAAUAUAAUUCUCAAAUUAUCUUGAUCUUAGUAAAUUCAUAAGAACAUUUUAUGAAAUUAUAUUUAAUAAUAAUUAUUUUAAAUUGUAUUUAAUCAUAUAUUUUAAUUAAAAUAUAUUUAAUAUUAAUUAUAGUAUCAUAUAUUAUGAUUUGAAUAAAUUAUAUAAGAAUAUGAAUUAUUAAGAAUUUUAUUAAAUUAUAUAUUUUAAUUAAAAUAUAUUUAAUAAUAUUUAUGUUAAUUUAUAUUUUACAGUAUCAUAUAUUAUGAUUUGAGUAAAUUAAUAUAAGAAUAUUAAUUAUUAAGAAUUUUAUUAAAUUAUAUAUUUUAAUUAAAAUAUAUUUAAUAAAAAUUAUGUUUAAAUAUGAUUAAAUUAUUUAUUACUGAUAAUAAUAAUCUUAUUAAAAUUUAAAUAACAAUAACAAUAAUCAUUUACCAAAACAAAUUUAUGCUAAUUAUAAGAAUUUUAUUAAAUUAUAUAUUUUAAUUAAAAUAUAUUUAAUAAUAAUUAUGUUUAAAUAUGAUUAAAAUAUUUAUUACUGAUAAUAAUAAUCUUAUUAAAAUUUAAAUAACAAUAACAAUAAUCAUUUACCAAAACAAUUUUAUGCUAAGGGUAUUCUAGUCAUUUUAGUUUUUUCCAGUAUGCUAUUACACCUCUAUUCCAUUCAACCAAACACAAGAUUACUAUUACGCCUCUAUUCCAUUACAUUCAACCAAACAGUGGAUUAGCUAUUACACCUCUAAUCCAAUACACCUCUAAUCCAAUACAGCGAACCAAACGCACCCUAAGUUUCUAAGCACUUAGUGCACUUGGAUUAGCUUUUAUAUAUAGUGCACUAAUAAGUUAAAAAACAAAAGAUUAACCGACUUCAGAAAUUUAGUGUAGCAUUAAUUGUAGGUCCGGCGAAAUAUCCUUAAAGACAGUAUCCAACACGUCUCUAGUUAUUCAACUUGUAUUUUUUAUUCUUUAAAUUGAAUAUUUACAAGAAUGCAUACCAACACUUUUAAUUCUUUGAUUUCUAUUCAUAUAUAUUUAUAUCAUCCAUAUUUAUUCAUACAUUCAAAGUUGGGAGAGCUGUUGUGAUUUCAUGAGCUUGGAGUCUUAAUUUAAUCCCGACAAAACCUUAACAAAUCAUCAGCAAAUGAGAUUCAGUUACAACCGAUUGGAUGAUCAAAGAAUAAAAAUUGUUUCUAUAGUUACGCAUCGUAUCGUGAAGAUUCGAGAAUCCUAAAGGAAUAAUUGAUAAGGGAUUAGAUUGUAAAGGGAUUAAUAGAGGAUGUGGGUAACAUGGAAGCAAACUUUGACAAGUGUCAGACUAUGCUAAGAACAUUAGUUGAUAAUUGAUUGUUAGAAAAUGUAGGAAAUGGAAGAGUGAAAAUGCAUGAUUUUGUAAUAGAUAUGGCUAAACUAAUCACCAAUGAGUUAUAUGAAUCAUGAAUUAUUAUUGCAACUUUAACCUAUGUAUAAUCAAGCUCCAACAUUUAUAAUUUUUUAUUAACUAAAAUGAUACAAUAAAUCAAAAACAAUCAAAACUUAAAAUAAUUCAAAUUUAAUAAAAAUCAAAAUUAAAAUUAACUUUGUUGAUAUGGUAAUGCAACGAGAAGACAUGGGGAAGGACAUGGUUGUGAUUAUGGAGGUUGGUUCAUCCAGUCGGGAUAGAGAGCCAAAUACUAUAGAGAGUGAGAAUGAAGAGAUAUGCAAACAAAGUGUUGAGGGGAACUUUUUUCAUCGUUCUUAGAAGUAUUUAUUGACGAGGUCCUGUAACAGCCCGAUUUUGGGUCUAGUCGGAACAGUGGUUUCAGGACCACAAAUCCGACGAGGAAAAAUGUAAUCGCCUGAAUUUUCAGGGGUGUCGGAACGGUGAUUCGAGAUCAUUGAAUCCGACAAAUAAGUAGAAAAUAUUAUUAAUUUAGUGAGUAUAAGUUAAAUGUGAAGUUAAAAAUUUUUUUGAAAUAGUGAAUAGUGCACUAGAAAUAAAUAUUAAAAUAAUUAGAAUAAAACACGAGGUAUCGAGACCUCAGAGAUUUUAAACCGAGCCAUAAAUAUUUAUAAAAAAUAUUUAUGGAGUGUUAAAAAGUUAGUAUUAAAGUUUCGUUAAAAAAUUUUAAAGUUUCGAUAAUUAAUUGAACAAAAAGAACUAAAUUGUAACAAAUGCAAAAUUAUGAGAAAUGAUUAAAUAGCUUAAAUGAUAAAAAGAAGAGGGUUUAAAAGGCAAAUAGACCCAAUGUCUAUUUGGGUUGGACGGCAAAGACAUGAAAUCAGCAAGAAAGUAAGGAGAAUUAAGAGCAAAAUUGGAAUAUUGCAAAAUUACUUAAUAAAGCUAGGAUCAAAGUAGAAUUAUGGAGAUUUCUCUUUAUUUUUCUGCAUUCUCAUCAGCUAAAACACCAUAGAAGGGUUUUCUUAAGCUGGUUUUUCAUAUUUUUACUGCAAGUUCAAUUCUUGAUUAUUUCUUGAAAUUUUUGUGUUUUGUGACUUUUACAACUAGGCCCACUUGUUGAAUUCAUUAGUUUUUAAUUUUAUGAAAGAAGUUGAAAGUUGCUAUGAAUAUGUGCUGGAAGUAUAUGAUGAUUUAGAAUGGAAUUAGAGCUAUCCUCAGAGCACUAGUAGAUAAUUGUUUGUUAGAAAAUGUAGGAAAUGAAAGAGUGAAAAUGCAUGAUCUUGUUAGAGAUAUGGCUAAACUUAUCACUCAUAAGUUGUAUGAAUCAUGAAUUAACAUUGCAACUUUAACACAUGUAUUGUUAAGCUCCAACAUUUAUAUUUUAGAUCAAUUAAGAUCAUACAAUAAAAAACAACCAAUCAAAACUUAAAAUAAUUCAAAUUUAAUAAAAAUAAAACCCAAAAUUAACUUUAUUGAUAUAGAAAUACAAUAAAGAGGAGAUAUGGGAAAGGACAUGGUGGUGAUUUUGGAGGUUGAUUUACCCAGUUGAGAGCGGAGAGCUAAGGACUACAAAGAGUGAGAUUGAAGAGUGUAUAUAGGCAAAAUGUUGAGGGUAAGUUGAUAGAGUAUAUGUUUGUAUGUUUGGAGAGUCAAUCAUUUCUUCAUCGUUCUUGGGGGUAUUUAUUGUAGGGGGUCUUGUGAAGGUUGUUAACAUGCUAAAUUUGCCAUCUAACCAUCAUUACGGAACGUGUGGGGAGAUGGGAUGAGAAUGCCUGUGAUGAGACAGAAUUUGUUAUUCAUUAUAAUACAAUAGUGCAGAGUAGUUGAGCUCACACGAGAGUUGGUAACCAACAAUAUCACGUUUUUACCAAAAGGUCAAGGGUUCAAAGCAAUGAGUAGUUCGUGUUUGUCUAGAUAGUUAGGACGAGAGAUGAAACUUGGGGCAGCCUUUGAAAUAUAAUAAAAAGCCAAAAACAAAAACAGGUUAAAAUGGUAAAAGGCUAAUCCAUCGCAGCUUCUUUCUCUCUACCUACUGACGAUAAGCAGCAAAUUUCAGAAUAUUAAACAUGACAUCAUAUGCAUACAAAACUUAUAUAAAUUUAAAAUUCUUAAACACAAUUACGAAGUCAUAAAAAUACAAACUGUCUUUUAAUUAAAUAUGGUAGGUGCAUUAAUUUAAAAUUCUUAAAGGAGUUGAUAUAUAGGGAGAUUGAUAAAUCAGUUUUUAUAAUAUCAUCAUUCAUUUUAUUAUUAACAAUUAAUAAGAUACUUUUAAUAAUUAUUUUUUAUUUUACAAACAAUAUUAAAAAAUUAAUAUAUUUUUAUUUUUAAAAUAUUUUAACAACUGUGUAACCAAUAAUUUCAUUACAUUUAAAUAAAAAUAUCUUUUUCCCAUUCUUGAAAGCUUCAAUCAAGACUUCGGCUUAGUUUGGACAGACGGUGUGUUAACCUCCGGUGAGUAGGGGUAAGCAUUCGAUCGAAUCGAAUCGAAUCGAAUAAAAAAUUUUCGAGUUAAUCGAGUUUUCGAAUCUCAUUUUAUCAUCCUAACUUUAUUUGAAGUUUUCUCGAAUCGAGUCGAGUGAGAUGUAAUUCAAAUCGAAUCGAAUCGAAUAUAUUUGUUCGAGUUAAAUUUUAAAAAAUAAUUUUGGAUCCUUGUAACCAUUGUCACCCAUCGUAAUAAAAUUUGUCCACCUUAAUCAAAUUUUUUAUUAACUUUCAUCACCUCAUAAUUUAUUUAUUAAUUUUUUAUAUACUGGUUAGCUUAUUUGUUUGCUUAGUUGUUUCAAUUAUCUUCGGAUUCUUGUCACUAUGUAUUUUGGAAUUAAAAAUAUGAUUUUUUAAUAAAAUUUAUUUUAAAAAUAAAAUUUGAAAUUGAUACCAAUAUAAAAUUUUAACACGAAUAUUUUAUGGCAUAAUUAAGAAUUCAAUUUUAAUAUAAAUAUUCAAUAUGACUAAACAAUUCAAUAAUAUAAAUAAUAUAAAAGUGAAAUUUAAUUUAAUAAUAUAAAUAGUAUAUAUAAAUAAAAUUAUUACUAUUUAUGUUUAGUGAUUUUUUUUAGAUAAUUUUGAUUUUUUAUUUGAGAGUAAAGGAUGAGAAGUAAAAGUUUAGGGGGAAAAUAAAAAGUUUUGGGGAAUAAAAGUUUGAGGGAAAGUAAAUAGGGGGAGUAAAAUUUUGGAGGGAAAAUAUUUAAAAAAAAAAUUGGAGGGGGGAGGGUUUGGGGUAGAUGGGAGGUGGGAGGUGGGAUGGGAAGAGAAUAAAAGUUUUAGGGGAAAAGUGGGAGGGAGUAAAAAUUUUGGGGGAAAAUAAAAGGUUUUGAGGGUUUUUGAGAGUAAAAUUUUGAAAAAAAAAAUGAAUGGAAGAGUAAAAUUUUGGUGGGAAAUGGAUUUUGGGUAGAUUGGGGGGUUGGGCGGGGAGGGGAGUAAAAGUUUUGGGGGAAAAGUGGGAAGGAGUAAAAGUUUUGAGGGAAAAGUAAAAAAGUUUGGGAGUUUAGGGUAAAACUGUAAAAUAUUAUAGUUUGAUAUUCGAAUUAUUCGAAUUAUUCGAGUUAUUCGAAUUCGAAAACUCAACUCGAUUCGAACUCGAAAUUCGAAAAAAAAAUUCGAGUUGAUUCGAAUAACUCGAUUCGUUCAACUCGAAAUUCGAAUUUUUUUUCGAUUUUUUCGAGUCGAAUCGAAUUUUGCUCACCCCUACCGGUGAGGUAAAAAACAGCGGUGGCGAUGAGAAUAGUUACUGUAGCAGUGAGAUUAGAAACAAUAGUGGAAUGUGUGUUUGGAUUCAAACACAGCUGUAGCGGUGAGGUGAGAAUAAAAAAUGACUAUUAAAGACAUCAGAUUAGAAUUGAUAUGUAAUAGAAGUUUUUAAAUUAUUUUACUUUUAUAAAAUUAUUAAAAUAUGUGAAUUUAUAAAUUAAUUUAAUAAAAUAUUAAAAUGUGUCUUCCAAUAUUUUAUUAUAAAUAUUUUAAUAAAUUAUAUAAUCAAUUUAAAAUAUUUAAUAGAUAAAAUGAUAAUUAUUUUUAAUUUUUUAUAGUUAAAUAUUCUUUUAUAACAAUAAUAAAUAUUAUUUUCACAAAUAAUAACAUUAUACUUGGAUCAAAUUUUGAUGUAUCUAAACGAAUAAUUUUUAAUAAAAAAAAUAGUAACAUAAGACAUAACAAGUUUUAUUAUUACUAGAAAUUAAGUUAUGAUACAAAAUGUUUUUAUAAACAUGAAUUCAUUAUACUAUAAUACAAAUACACUCCGAACUUAUAGUACUCAAAGUUGUUCUUUUGAAUGAAAUUGAUGAACACUUUAACAGCAGGAGAGGUCUCGAUGAAACCCUUGAAAAAACCUUUAAAUUAAAUUUUUUUACCAUGGUACUUAAACUUUUCUUUUAACCUAAAUUGAUACAUAAAAUUAUAUUUCUGUUAACCAAUUCAGUCCACCAAAAUUAGAGUAUACCACGUGACGCUUCAGUUCAAUUAGAAAACUCCACGUGACAUUCAUAAGUACUAAAAGGAAAAAAAUAGAUUUAUAAAUUCUAAAACUAAAUAAAAAUUUUAAAUUUAAAAAUAAUUUAUCAAAUAAAAAUCUAAUUAAAAAUUUUAGUAAGCUAUCAUUUUAUUUUGACUCAACAUUGAUUAUAGUUGGCCUAAUAGUAUUUUUAAGUUUUAUAUUAUUUUUAGUUUUCAAAAUUUAACUAUUUUUUUAAUUCUAAAAUUUUGAUUAUAUUUUUUUGGUUUUUUUAAAACAAAUAUUUAAACUAUAUAUAUAUAUAUAUAUAUAAGCUCUAGAAAUCUGAAAUAAUUUAAAAAAUAUUUGUUUCAAAAAGGCAAAAAAACAGUAUAAUAAUUUUUUAAAAAAAUUGGAAAAAUAGUUAAAUUAUGAUAACUGAAAAGAAUAUAAAAGUUUUUAGAAAAUUUUUAAAAAAUUAAAAAUAUUUUUCACACAAUAUAUAUAAAUCUUAAAAUAAUUUUCUAAUAUAAAACUUGAAAAUACUAUUAAGUCAAAAUCGAUCAAUCCCGGUCAAUUUCAUUUCAAAGUCAAAUGCUAAUUUUCAAAAAUUUCUAUUUUAUAAAUUAUUUUUAUAAUUUUUAUUUAUUAUUAAACUUUUUUAGAAUUUAGAAAUUUAUUUUUAUUUUUAAUAGAUAUAGAUGUCAUGUAACACUUAAUUUCUAAUUGGAUUAAAGUGCCAUGUGACACAAUUUAAUUUGGCCACAUUUCAAUAAUUUUUUUAACAGUGGUGGACUGAAUUAGUUAACAAAAUGUAACUUUAGGAAUCAAUUUGGCCAAAAAAAAAUUCAGGUACUAAUAUGAGAAAAAUGAUAUACUUUAGGAGACAAAUAACAUGAACCUUUAUAUUAGGGGUUAGAUUACAUUUUGUCCCCUCAACUCAAAAAUAGACAAAUUAGUCGCUAUAUGUUAGAUUAAUGAGUAAAUUGGACAUUUUGUUAAAUUUUACAUCAAUUUCUAUUGAUAAAAUCUAGUUCUUGUACAUCAUCAUGAGAUACAUAUGACACACCACAUGUAAUUGUUUAGUUAUUACAUUAACCCUAUCAGUUUUUAACAUAUAUAUCACAGUAUAGUACCCGAACUUGACAACUUGUACCUACUUGACACUUUUUUUUUUACCUAAUUGGUUCAUGAACUUGAAAACUGCAAAUUAACUUAAAUUUUUAGAUACUUGACUAAUAUUGCCAAAUUUAUCAUCUUCAAUCAAUUAGAUUAUGCCAUGUAUAUUAAAGAACCAAGUAUAUUAUGUCACGUGUACAAAAAAUAAUUUAAUUUAAAUUUUUUUAAUUGUUAUUAAUUAAAAUAAAAAAACUUCUAAUUAAUUAACUGAUAUUUUAUGUCUACUUCCGUUUCUUCUUCUUCUUCUCUAAGUUUCAACCAAAUCUCUAGUCCGCCCUCGUUCUCUGCGCCAACAUUGCCGGCUCUCAGUUUGGGUAGUUUGAAUCAAGGGACUCUCUUCUCCCCUUUUAUUAUUUUUUUCUUUUUAUUGAUUAUUGGCUAUAGGUUUAUUGAGUCUUUGGUUGAGUGGUGGGCGACGAGUUUGAGGCUUGUUUUAGGAGGGGUCAGGUGAGUCAGGGUCGAUAAUCGUGCAUGUCACAACUGUAUUUUAUUCGGAUUAAGCUCAAUUCGAAUUACGUGUUUUUUUUUUAAAUUUCUUAGUUAUUAAUUAUUAUUUAUGGGGGACGGUUUUACAAAGGGAAGUUGAGUAAGAGAAGAAGGGGGAUUAUCUCUAAAAGAGAAGUCUAAAGACUACAGCUCCAUUUCUUUCACCUCCAUUGAGUCUCAUACUCUAAUUACUUACAUACUACCAUCAAAACCCCACACAUUUCCUCAACCUUGACCGUUAACCCGUCCCUGGGUUUGAAACAGUGAAAGCAUUCAACUUUGGUUACUGGACAGUGAUGAUUCCAAGGAAGACCGGUUUCCAUCAUAUUUGUGACCAAACAAAGAGUCUGCAACUUUAUUAAGGAGAAGAAAAGGAAAAAUUGAAGAGGCCUUCCUUGACUCGUGAUAUUCAAAUCUCAAAGUACCAUUAGUCCCAUUUGCAUUAUUUUCAUCCUUUACCUUCACCAUCAUCUUAUUAUCAUCAUCAUUUUCUAUGUUGUUGAAUGUCAUUCUGAUGUUGAAAUAUUAUGGAAAAUUUACGUGUGUCAUGUAGUAUAUAUAUUUGGACUAUUUUGGUCGAAACAUUUUUUUAAAUAUUUAUAUUAUUUCAAUAGUUAUAGUUGAAAAUUUUUAAAUGAUUUAAAAGUUAUAGCACUUGAUUAUUAAUCAAGAGUUUUUACUAUUUAUAAUGAUGAGUUAUAUUUUUUAUUGUUAAAAGUGAUAUUAUUUAAUUAUAUUUAUUUAAAUAUGAAUAAUUAUAUUUAUUAUAAAAAGAUGUAAUUGUCUAUAAUUGGCAGUUAUAAAUUUACGAAGAGACACAAAAACUCUUAUCAUUCAUUUGUUUAAUAGAAUAAAAUAAGAAACAAAAAUUUCUUUUCAUUCUCUUCCAUCUUUUGCUAUUUUUAAAUUGUUGUAUAAAAAUUUAAUGUAAAAAAUCGUUAUAGAAAUCAUGCAUAAAAUAAUAAAAUCAUGCACGCACUAACACUUAUCAAAUUAACUUGUAUCAUUAUCAUUGACGUUUAGCACAAACCUGCAUAAAAUCAUGCUUUUUCUUCCUCAAGUGUAUUUGUAAAAUAUUUUUUAUAAAAUAAUAAGAUAUCCUUUUGACACGAUAAUACUAUUGGAAGUCAUUGUUAGGAUUCUGUAAAAACUUUAAAUAAUUAUUCAUUGUGAAAAAAAAAUAAGAUUUUUAAAAUCCAUUUAAGAAUGAUUGCCGAAUUCAAAUAUUUGAUCUACUAUAGUUAAAUCCUAAAAGUAACUCAAAUUUAAUAGAAAAAAUUCCCAAAAUAAACUUAAUUUCUUGAAAUGUAAAUUAGUCUAAUCCAAAUCAAAUGAGGUAAUUAUCGCAUAGCAAAUGUCAACAUUUUCAUGAUACAUCAAAUAGAAAAAGACAAUAUAUAGCACUUAACCCAACUUAAUAAAAUUAUGAAAAUUGUAGGUGAAUUUUGAUUAAGUGAAUGCAGGGAGAGAAAAUCCAUUUGAGUUGAGUGUCAUUUCUAGUAGUGUGUGAAAUCGUAUUAUUUGCAACUUGUAAGUAAGGUGGUUUAUUUCAUCUCCUAACAAGUUAAUUCAAAGAAGUAUUUAUUAAAUUUCACAUUUUUAAAUUUUGCGGUGACUGUCUAUUUUUAUCCAUAUAUAUAAUCCCCAAACAUGUGUUCUAAAACUAGUUCACACCUAUUAGGCACAUGAAACUGUGGAAGAGUAAAAGAAUAAAAAUUGGACUUAUUCAACGGUUGAGUAAUUCGUUCGGUCCGAUAAGUUCGACUUAACUUUGGUAAUCAACUCAAAACUUUUAAAAUUCUAAUUAACUUAAAGUAUUUUGGCACUAAUUACGGCUAUAAUUGGAUGAAGGAUAUUUGCAAUAUUAUCACAUUAUGCACCUACAAAUAUAUGAUUCUAUUAAGAACGUUAACUUUGUCAACUCCGGGGUGAUUAAGUUAGAAAUAUAUAAUAAUAAAAUCAAUAGAAAACAAGCAAAAUGUCAAACAACCACAUUUUGAAAGUUUGAAAUUUAAUUUUCAACUAGAAUAUUCUAGGAUUUGCUUCUUCAAUUACAAGACCAUCACUAGUUUUUCUUUAAGUCACAUAGUUGUAUUUCUUUCCUUAUUCCAGUUCUUGAUUCGGUAUAUCUUUGCUAUAUAUUGUAUAUUUAUGAUAUCGUAGCCGCUUCUGUAGCUUAUUUCUGCGGUGUUCAUUUUAUAUUCAAAGCCAAUCAAUUCUUGGUCUCCGGUAUGUUUCACUUCAGCCUUUACUAAUAGGGAUUGGUAAUUUGAAGAUAGAAUUCUGAUGAUGGUUGGAUUGAUCUCUGUGAGGAUUCUUUGUUAAAUGGAUUCAGAAUGAGUGCAGGAUAUUGAAAUUAUUUCAUACAAGUAUUUUUAAUUUUCUUUAACAUCUAUAAUUUACAAUAUAGAAAAGAGAUUGCCAUUUUACUCGUGAGUGAAAGGCUUUUUAAUUAUGCCCCUCAAUUAUUGCUUUCAUUUCAUUAAUCGUUAGAUGAGAGCUUUUCUUGAUUUACAUGUCUCUAUAGAACCCACAUAUUUAAUAUCUUGUUAAAAAAUUUGUGGAAUCCAUGUAUGCACAGAAAUUUAGACCUGACAAUGCAUUCUUAGUUUCUAACAUAUUGCAUGUUAUGCAGCAUUCCUGACUGAGAGCUAUGGAUUAUUUUCUGAAUAAGAUUGAUAAACACUUGGACAAUCACAGAAGCCUCGAUCAGAAUAAGAAUGAGCUUAAAAGGAAAUUAAAUGAUUUGAACGGUCUGAAGGAAGACAUAGAAUCUAGACUGAGCUCAGAGCUGCAGCCAACAAAGAAACUAAAGAAAGGGGUCCAAAUAUGGUUGGAAAAUGUUGAAAGAAUCAAUGGCGAAAUACAAAGCCUUGAUGGAAGAAUCGGAGAAAGCAGUGCUCUUACACGUGGUUUCCACGCAAAAGAUGUGUUAAUGAGGAUGAAGGAAGUUGAAGAACAUAUUCAACAAGGCAAAUUUUGUGAAGGUUUGGUGGUUGACAAUCCUCGACGGAUUGGACAAGUUUUAUCGACUUCAACUCUAUCAGGUGAAGCUACGAAGUUAUGCAUCGAAGAAAUUUGGCAGUGCUUGAUGAAUGAUGAGGUUCGAAAAAUUGGAGUUUGGGGGAUGGGAGGAGUAGGGAAAACAAGCAUUAUGAAGCAUAUAAACAAUCGACUCUUGAAAGAGACCCACAAGUUCGAUGUUGUGAUUUGGAUCACUGUAUCAAAGGAGAUGAGUCUUGCUAAACUGCAGAAAGACCUUGCAAGUAAACUUGAUGUAAAAUUUUCUGGCAAUGAAUGUGAAACAACAAGGGCAGGGAUGUUGUUUGAAACAUUGUCUUUCAAGUUCAGUAGGUUUGUGAUCAUCUUGGACGAUGUAUGGGAGAAGGUUUCCUUUGAGCAGGUAGGAAUCCCUGAGUCAUCUAAUGGGAGUAAAUUAGUGUUAACAACGCGAUCACUUGAUGUGUGUCGACAUGUGGGUUGUAAUAGAGUAAUUCAAAUAAAGCCUCUUGCUGAAGAAGAGGCAUGGAACUUGUUCUUGGAGAUUGUAGGUGGGAAUAUUCUAAAUAUUCCAGGAUUGGAACCAGUUGCAAAAUCAAUAACUAAGCAUUGUGCGGGUUUGCCCUUGGGAGUAAUAGUUGUAGCUGCUUGUAUGAAGGGACUUGAUGACCUUUUUGAAUGGAGGAAUGCGCUAAAGGAACUAAGUUUAGCAAGACAAAGUGUUAAUGGAUUGGAAGAUGAGGUGAUCCAACAAUUGCGAUUUAGUUAUGAUCGUUUAAAGGAUCAAAAACUUCAACACUGUUUCCUCAACUGUGCCUUAUAUCCUGCAGAUUUUGCAAUCAGAGAGAUAGAUCUUGUUCAUCUUUGGAUUGCAGAAGGGCUUGUCGAAGAAAUGAACAGUAGGCAAGCAGAGUAUGACAAGGGUUGUGCAAUAAUGAAUAGACUCAUAAACAACUGUUUGUUAGAAGUUCCUACGGAAACAGAAAAUGGAAGAUGUGUAAAGAUGCAUGAUCUUGUAAGGGACAUGGCAUUACAUAUCACAUGUGGAACACCUCGAUUCUUGGUAAAAGCUGGCAUGAGAUAAACGGAGCCACCAGAUAUACAAGAAUGGAGAAAGGACCUAGAAAAAGUUUCAUUGAUGGAGAAUUGGGGGUUACAGCUUCCCUAUCCUUUGGAAAUAUUGCCACCAAAGUGUCCGAUGCUCACAACACUAUUGUUUUCUGGUUGUAAUAUACAAAGCAUUCCAGAAGGCUUCUUCAAGCAUAUGCACGGACUCAAGAUUCUUGAUCUUUCUGCAAAUCCUAUCAAGAAUCUCCCAGAUUCCAUUGCUAAUUUGAAGAACCUCACGGCGCUAUUGCUUCGUCAUUGUCGAAGUUUAGAGAAGGUGCCAUCAUUGUCAAAACUUAAAGUCUUGAAGGAGUUGAAUCUUGAAGCAACAAGUAUCAAGGAAAUCCCUUGUGGGAUGGAAAACUUGUUGAAACUCAAUUACCUGAAUUUGAAUGGUAUAGGAGACCUAUAUGAGAUUCCUGAUCGAGCAUUAUCAAAACUUUCUUGCCUUCAAGACUUGAUUGUUGGUGAAACAGUGAUAAGUGGAGAAGAUGUUGGUGGAUUGAAGAAACUGGAAAUUCUUAAAGGGAGGUUUUUCGACUUGCACAACUUAAAUGCGUAUGUCCAAGCUUUACAUGGUCGAGAAGAACCUCUUGAAUACAUCAUCCGCGUGGGUGAGCGAGGAUGGGUGGAGCAAAUUAAUACAAGAAAGUACAUAGAGUUAUGUGGUUGUAAUAUCUAUACCAAUCAGAUUAUACUUCCACAUGUUGAGGAGUUAUACAUUAAGGAGUGCAAUCUCAAUUGUAGCGAAGGGUAUCCUCUUUUCUCCAGGUUUAUUCUAAUCUCACUUAGCACAUUCUCCUCUCUUAAAUUUCUUGAUAUAUAUAAUUGUAAAAGCAUAAAAAAAUUGUUCUCUCCAAAUUGCUUGCCGCUAAAUUUACAAGAGCUUAGCGCAUCGGAGUGUAACAUGCUAGAGGAAAUAAUAGCAAUAGAACUUGGAUGGAAUCAAAGUGAAAAGGCUACUAUGGAGUUUCAUUUACCACAAUUAAGGUUAUUUUCACUAUGGAAUCUACCAAAGUUGAAGAGUAUUUGCAGUGUUAAUGGAGUAAUCGUUUGUGAUUCACUUGAAAUAAUUGAGGUAAGAAAUUGUCCGAAAUUAAAAAGAAUGCCUCUUAAUCUUUCCCAACUUGAUAAUAUUAGACUUCAACCAUCUGGCCCUCUCUCUCCUCUUAUUUGUAUAAAGCCAGAAGAGUGGUGGGAAUCCGUGGAAUGGGAUCAUCCAAAUGCCAAAUCUAUUUUAGAGCCCUUGUUGAGGUCUUGCUGGUAGUGUUGAAUUUACAUUUAACUCCAAUGAUUUUUUUUUUUCAAUUAACUUCUAAUUGCUAUUUGUAUUCUAAAUUUUGUACAAGUGGAAUAGAAAUUCCUCACUUUGGAAUUAUGGAAAAACCAACUGAAACUUUUACUUGUUCAAAGCCGAAACAUGGUUAUAAUUUCUUUCAUGAAAACUAUUACGUGAAUUCAUGUUUUUAGUGGUGGAGCUUUAUAUAAAUUUAUGUUAUGACUGAAUAAUUGUAGGAUUGUAUUAAACUAUUUCGAAGCUGGAAGCAGCAUAUUGCGGGUUAACGUGCAGCAAAUGUGUAACAUUUUAGCAGUUAAGGUGUGAUUGUUUUAAGUUAAAUUGAAUCUAAGUUAAUUAAAGAUGUAAUUGAGUUGAGCCUAAAUGUUGAAACAGUGAAAAAACUAAUUUUAAAUUUUAUUAGAAUUGAAUUUGAUUAAGUUUUAUUUUUAUAAUGUGAAAAGAUGUUGAUUUAGUAAAGAACUAAUUGAAGCAUAGAAAAAAAUAUGACUGAAGGGAUAAUUUAAUUCAUUAACAAAGUAGCCCUUAUAUAAGUGUCAAGUAACAACUUCAACAAAAAAUUCAAAUUGCUACUCCUACUAACAAGCUAACAAAAUCAACUUAGGACUUAGUCUUUUUUUUGAAAAAAAAAAUAGAUGCAACCUUGAGACACCAACAUUCUUCUCGUAACUCAAGUGUUGCAAACACCAAGUUUAUUCUUAAGAAACUCAAAUCGACUAACAUGAAAAAUUUACUGAAAAUAUCUGUCAUCUGAUCCUCUGAUUUGCAAUAAACUAAUAUCUUCAAUAUUCGCCUUCUAUGAAUUCCUUCUCAACUAGUGUAGCUUCAAGAGUUGCCUCCAAUUGUUUCCUAGCGUGCAACUCCAUUUGCAUCAAAAUUUCCAUAAUUCAAAAUCAUCACAAGCUGUUCUAGAAAAGUCAUGAGAGUGGUUAGAGUGCCACUCUUCUUCCAAGUUCUUGUGUUGUCACUAUACUUGAGAUUAAUACCAUUUAUAGUUUGAUUAACAAAUCUUCUCACAGUUAAUAAUUCUUUUUUCAAUUUUGCAUUUUGCACUGAAAGCUGGAUCAGCUUAACAACUAAAUUCUUAAACUCAACAACAUCUACAGAUGUCAAUUCUUUCGCAUAUGAAGCUUCUUCAGUCAGCUUUUGAUUUUGGAAACCUAACCCACUAUUCUCUUCUGAAAGUUGCACAUUACUCUUGAUUUCCUGAGAUAGAAUUUUUUUUUCCGUAGCUAAUCAACAGGUUCUUCAAAUAUUUCUUGUGCAAAAGAUGAUAGUUUAUCAUCAGAGAGAGAUGUCAACUGCUGCCCCAAGAGAUUUACCUUUGUCUACAACUCCUCAUUCUCAAAACACUUGAUUUGCAGUUGUUCUUGAAGAAUACGAUUCUCUGCCAAUUUUAUUUGAAGCUCAAAGCUUUUUUUAUUACAUUGUGUCAUCAAUUUUAUAAUUGUUUGUUGCAUUGAUGUCAUUUUUUCCUGACAAUUGGAUGCCACUUGCUCCUCCUCAAGUGGAUUCAAUGAGAAACUUUUCUUCUGCAUCUUGAUCCUAAACAAUUCAUUGCCACUAGAGUCAAGGAUCAGGCCCUUCCCUCUUCGACUUUAAUGACCUGUCAAGGUCUUUAAACAGCUUCUCAUCGUAAGACAUGUGAUUGGUACAACCACUAUCAACUAACCAACUGUCACAUAGAGUGCUUGAUGAGAAGCAAGAGACAACAAACAAAUGGUCUUCUUCUUCUUUAACUGCAACAUGUGCUCCACCUUGCUUCUGAUUUCCCAGUUCCUUGCAGAACCUCUCAAUGUGCCCCAUCAAGUUGCACCUUUUGCAUUUCACAUCUGGCCUUCUCCAACACCUGAAAUGGGGAUGAUUCUAUUUUCCACAAUACUUACAUGAAGAAUACUUAUUAUAAUUUUCAGUACUAUUACCUUUUGCAAUAGUUUCUAAACCACUAUUGCAAUCACUCUUCUUCUCAUUCCACUUCUAUUCCUCUCCUUUUUCGCCUUGCUGCAUCUUAGCCUUCAAUGCUUCUUUCUAUGCUUCCUUCGUGCCUCAUAAGCCUCUUUUGCUCUUGUGCUUGUAAAACACUGAUCAACUCCACUACUCUCAACUGAGUCAAGUUCUUAGUGUUCUCCAAAGAGGCAAUUGUUGCUUCAUAUUUCUCAUAGACACGUAUUUUCUGCAAGAUAUUUCUUUUUCUUUUUCUUUUUGAAAGGUACUUAGAUGGCGUAUCAAUAAGAACUUUUUGAGUACUUUAAAUCGUAAUCUAUUUUUUUAGACACUAAACUUUAAAUUAACUUUUAAAGAGCCCACUUUUAAAACAAAAAAAGCUAUGAAAUAUUGAUACCUACGCAACAACCCUUUGAAAUAUAAUAAAAAGGCAAAACAAAAACAGGUUAAAAUGGUAAAAGGCUAAUCCUUCGCAGCUUCUUUCUCUCUACCUACUGGCGAUAAGCAGCAAAUUUCAGUAUAUUAAACAUGUUAUAUAAAUUUAAAACUCUUAAACACAGUUACGAAGUCAUAAAAAUACAAACAGUCUUUUAAUUAAAUAUGGUAGGUGCAUUAAUUAAAUCUCAAUGGCCACCGAAGUUGACUUAAAGGAGUUGAUAUAUAGGAUUGAUAAAUCAGUUUUUAUAAUAUCAUCAUUCAUUUUAUUAUUAAAAAUUAAUAAGAUACUUUCUAAAAUUAUUGUUUAUAUAUUUUUAUAUUAGACAUAUUGAUAAUUUAUUUUUUAUUUUACAAACUAAAUUAAAAAAUUAAUAUAUUUUUAUUUUUUAAAUAUUUUAACAACAGUGUAACCAAUAAUUUCAUUACAUUUAAAUAAAUAUAUAUUUUCCCCAUCCUUGAAAGCUUCAAUCAAGACUUCAUAAAAGACCAGGCCCCCUUGUUAGUUUACAAAAAAAGGGAGCUUCGGAAAUGGAAGUGGAGUCUGUCUUGCUUGCUUUGCUGUUGAUAAAUGCCCUUACGUUUUCGCAGCUUAAUCUGGCAGUUGAGGCGGCUGAGUCUGUUCCUCUAUCACCAUCGGAUGAUUUCUCGAAAGAGUUGAAAGCUUUAUCUAGGAGGAGUCGGCGAAUAACUCCACCAUCACCCAGGAUUAAUGCUCCUGUUCACUUCAAAAGCCCUCCUCCAUCACCUCGACCUCCUCCGCCGCCACGGUCACCACCACCUCCAUGUCUGUGGCGUCCACCUACUGCGUUUGGAUAAGACGAUUGUUUCCCAGGUUACACACAGUUGAUGAAGCUCUCAUGUCAUCAGCUUUUGUUUGUAAAUUGUAAAACUUUAAAGUGCUUGUAUGUUAGCAGCAAAUACCAACUUUGUUUAGCUCUGAUAAUAAUUAAAUUUGUAAUGAUAAAAAUAAUAAUAUGUUAAAUAUAAAAAUGAAUAAAUGUAUGCAUCACUUUCACUUAAACACUCUUUAAGAAAUUGUUUAAUAAGUAUCCCUUGUCUUCCCUUCCCAUCUCUUUGAAGUCUCCCGACCAUCUCUAUAUGUAGCAUAAAUGAUGAGCAGCCCUCCAUCAACGAGGACCCGGGUCCUCAAAGGCCAACUCAAAAAAGCAUCUCAAUCUAAGAGAGGAGGGUAGCCUUUUCAGUGCAGUGCUUUCAGGGUUGAAUGAGCAUCGAGGUCUUUCGAGAUUGGGGUUUUCUCGUAGGAAAAAAAUGAAAAAAUCAUCUUGAUAAUAGUCCUUUUAUAGAUCGGGUGGACAAAGGAAUAGCAAGCCUUUGGAAGGAAGAAAAAGCUAACAUAUGGACGAAGAUCGGGUGAAUGAGAUAAUUCCCAGAUUCAUUUCAAAAACCUCGAGAUUAGCCUUGGCCGAACACAGGUAAACCGUCCAGACCCCACUCAAACCAUAGUCCCCUCAAAGGCCAACUCAAAAACAACAAUCUCUACGUCUAUGGAGCCUGGACUGCAGAAACUGAGAAACCUCCAAUUCCAAGCUCCCUGGUUCGGUGCAACUUGGACUUUCUGGGAAGGGCAUUAAAUACCCAACCAACAUAUUUAUUUUGGCCACUUCACUCUAGAGGGAUCAUGGGCCGAGUUUGUGCCGGGUUCAGAUAAAAUUUUAGGCCCGUUUUAUUAGCCCGGAUCUGACUCGGUCUGGCCCAAAAUAUAGAUAUAAAAAUUUAUUUAAACUUGGCCCGAAAAAAUUAUUAAGCCGAGCCUGACUCGGCCUAUAUUAAUUUUUUUAACUUAUUUCAUUAAAUAAAAAAUUUAAAACAAAUAUUAAAACAAAAAACAAAUAAAAAAUGAGACUAAAACAAUUCUUAAAACAAUACACAAAUUGAAAAUAUAAUAAAAAGUGAUUAUAUUAAAAUUGAAACAAAUUAGAACUAAAAUAAUAACUAAAUUAAUAAUAAAACAAAAGUAUAUUUGAUUAAAUAUAAAAUAUAUAUAUUUAAUAUAUAAUUCGUGCCAGGCCGGGCCGGGUCUGGCCCAAAAAAAUUUUACCUGAGGCUUAGCCCGUUUUCUAAACGGACCUCAUUUUUUUGGCAUAAACUUAUAUUUUGAAUAUAUAUUUUUAUCUAAAUCUUUUUAUUUUUCAAGUAGAUUAUCGGGCCAGGCUAAAUAACUUAACCCAUGAUCACCUCUACUCCACUUCAGUAAUCAUUUGACUGCAGCCAAACCAAUAUCAAGUUGAUGGGACUGGGGGUCAAAAUUCAUGCACCAAGCAAUCUACGCUGCUAGACCCAAGACCAUUCUUCAGCUUGAUGAGCCCAAUGACCAGAGCCAAUGCUCUACGACUAGCUCCAUGAAACCCAAAAUGCAGCAAGAGACUCAUUGUAACGCCCCACUUUUGUUGUGUUUAGAUUGUUAAAGUAUGUUAAAUAAUUUAAUCUGGUAUGUGGUUAAGCGUCUUAAAUGUUUGUUUUAGGUCUUGACUUUAAUUCUUUUAUUUUGGAUUUUUUAUUAAUUUUGAUGUUAUGUUAAGCUUGACGUUUUAGGCUUAUCUUUUUAUUUUAUUAGAUUGUUGAUAAGGAUGAGCUUAUUAAUCUAGUAAACCGUCCAUUAUUCUCUCACCCCCUUCCACCUUUUUUCUCCCUGUUAUUGUUUUCUAUUUGGUUCUUUCCUCUCUUUUUUCUUUUUUUCCUCUUUGAGCUUUUUUCUUUUCUUUUGCUUUGAAUCUCCGAUUUCGAUUAUAAUCCAAAGAUAACGUAAGUUUUGUUAAAUUAUUUUGUUGUUAUUUUGGUGUUAAUUCGUUGUGCAAGGGUGAAAUUAUUAGUUUAAUCCUUUUAAUAUAUUAUGAUAAAUAUUCUAUUGAUUCUCUUAUCAGAUUAAAGGGAUGUGAAUCGAAACCCUAAAAUUUUUGGACUAUUUAUUUUAUAAUUUUAAAUGAUAAAAAUAUUAUAUUUUUAUAAAGAUAUAUACUAUUCAAAUGAUGAAAUUAUAUUUUUAUUUUUAUAAAAAUUAAAUUUUAAUUUUAACAUUCUUAAAAAUAUUUUCUACCUUCCCCUCUUCCCUUACCGAUCAUAAACAUGGACAUCAAUCCUAAACAUGGACAUCAUAUGGCGAACAAAAUUUAUAUAAAUUUAAAAUUUUUUAAACACGGUUAUGUUUUUCUCCAGGUUUGUCCUAACCUCACUUGGCACCUUUUCCUCUUACAUAUCUUGAAAUAAGGGAUGUAAAAAAUAUGAAAAAAUUGCAACAAAUAGUUUUGAUAGUAUGCUCCGAGUGUAGCAUUUGGUGUCUGCUGGUUAUUAGUGUUUUCUUGUGUGUGUCGACUGUUGGUGUUUCUUAUGGAGGAAGGGUUAGCAGAUCUGCGUUUAACGGAGGAAGGAGACAAUAAGGAGUUGGAAGCUUGGGAGAUUGAACAGAAUAAGGAGAUAGAAGACUCUUUUUCGGAGUUGUGCUUGGUAGGGUGUUUUCUAACAGCAACUCUGAUAAAUUUUUAGGCUAUGCGGACUGUGAUGGCAAAUCUGUGGCAUUCUUUGGGGGGAGUUUCCAUUGCAGAUGUGGGUGAGAAAAGGUUUGUCUUUCAAUUUUAUUGUGAAAUGGAUUUUGAUAGGGUGGUGAAGGGCGCUCCUUGUACUUUUAACAACCAUUUACUUGUUUUUCAUCACUUAAAACAAGGCAAAGAUCCCUUGGAAGUGGAUUUAUUAUAUACCAAGUUCUGGGUUCAAAUUUAUAAUCUGCCACCUAGUUUCUUUACGGAAGCUAUUGCUAAAUAGUUUGGAGAUUUUAUUAGAGCCUUUGUGGAGUACGAUGUCAAAGCGAUUAUGGAGGGAUUAAGAAAUUAUAUGCGGAUUAGAGUUAAAGUUGAUAUCCGGCAAAGUCUGAAGAGAAGAAAGAAACUUAUUAUGGCAAAAAAAGAGUUCUUUACUAAUUUCAAAUAUGAAAGGUUGUCAACAUUUUGUUUUCUGUGUGGCAAGCUCGGACAUAGUGAGAAUUGUUGUCCUAUACGAAUGGUGACAGGGAGAAAGGAGCUUCCUCUUGAAUGGGAUAUCUCGCUCAAAGCUCCUCCACGUAGGGCGGCGACGGUAGGCAGUAUUUGGUUAAGGGAACCAACUGAAAUUUGGGGAGUGUAUCAGGGAAUUUCUAAAAAUGAUGAAGGCAAACAAGGAAAGAAUCUGGGGGAAUUAAAUCUAAUGAGGAAUAAUGGAACGAAUUUGGGGUUGAAUUUAUAUGAAAAAUCAAAACAGAUUGUGAAUGAGGAGUUGGUGUUGAUGGAAGUUGGGUCUACUAAAGAGGAUCGGCCCAUUAUUGGAGGAGAGAGGAAAAAGAGGCCUAGACCCAAUAAUAUUCAAAAUGCCUCUACCACCGAUGAUAUGAUAUGGAAAAAUGGGUUAAUGGAGGAUGUUAAUCAAAUCAACCAUACGGCUGAACUUGCAGGGCAGGUCAACCGAGCAUUAUGAAAAUAUUAAGUUGGAACGUCCGUGGGCUGGAGAACCCACGGUCUGUUCAGAAAAUUCAGCAUGUGCUGAAAAAGUACUGUCCCCAAGUUUGUUUUUUUAUGGAGACAAAAGUAGAGAAAUCGAGAAUGGAAAGGAUAAGAAAGAAAUUUGGUUUUGCGAAUGGGGUGGAUAUUUCAGCUCAAGGAUCACGAGGGGGUCUUUCUUUGAGUUGGUGUAGUUCGAUGGAUGUUACCAUCUCAAGUUAUUCUGGGAAUCACAUUGAUGCAGUUAUUGUUAAUAGUGAUGGGGCGACAAAGUGGAGACUAACAGGGUUCUACGGUAUUCCAGAUUAUCAGUGGAGAGAUAUUUCUUGGGACUUGCUAAAGCGGCUGAGCACGAACAAUGAAUUGCCUUUGGUUGUUGUAGGGAUUUUAAUGAGAUUUUAUUUAGUUCUGAGAAACAAGGAGGUCGAUUGAGGGAAGCAAGGCAAAUGGAGGCUUUUCGAUCAGCUUUGGAAGAUUGUGAGCUGGUGGAUAUAGGGUAUUGCGGCCGAUGGUACACGUAGGAAAAGGGGAAUUUUGAGGCAAAUAAUAUAAUAGAGCGGCUUAAUAGGGGAGUGGCUACUUUGGGUUGGACUGAGAUGUUUCCGUUCUCCCGGCUCCUUCACAUUGAUAAUUCAACUUCUGAUCAUUGUCCUCUGUUGUUGGAUACGGAAUUUUCAACAAGCAAUGGUAAUUCUUCAAAUUCAGGGUGUUUAUUUCGCUUUGAAACUGCUUGGUUGUUAGAAGAUUCUUGUCAUGAGUAGGUUAGAUCUUUGUGGGACUCCAAUAAAAAUGUGUCAGUGCCUGAAAGAUUAACACUGAUGGGUGAGGGGCUCCGAAGAUGGGCUAGCCAUUUAAAGAAUGAGAGGGGUGCGAAUAUGAAGAAGCUGUCAGACUAAUUAAAUAAACUGUCUGAGGAAGAUCCUUCAGAUGACAUUCUCGAGGCUAUGAUUAAGACUAGAUUAGAGCUGAAUCUCGAGAUUGAUAAGGAAUAGCUCUAUUGGGAGCAAAGGGCUAGAUUGAAUUGGUUAAGGUAUGAGGAUCGGAACACUAGUUUUUUCCAUAAUCUUGCCUCAAGCAGACGUCGUAAAAAUAAGAUCGCUAGGCUGAAGGACCAAAAUGGGUCCAUCAAAGAUACGGACGAAGAUCUUAUGCGAAUUGCAACCAGUUAUUUUAAAGGACGGUUUGCGAGUGAGGGAAGUAGAGGAGCUCAAAAAUUUUUUGAAGGGGUCCAAAAAAUGAUAACAAUUGAGAUGAAUAGGAUGUUGCUGGAUACUUUCCGGGAGGAUGAAGUUAGGAGGGUGGUCAAGAAGAUGGGGGGAAAUAAAGCUCCCAGUUUUGAUGGCUUCCAUGCAGUGUUUUUUCAAAUAUUUUGGGCGAUUGUAGGCAAGGAUGUUACAAGCUUUUGCCUUAGAGUACUUAAUAGAGAACAACAGCUGAAUGAGGUUAAUUUUACAACGAUUGUUUUAAUCCCUAAAGUCUCAACGCCAGAUUGUAUGACAGAUUUUCGGCCCAUAAACUUAUGUACGGUGCUUUAUAAAAUUAUAGCGAAAGUCAUUGCUAACAGAUUUAAGAGAGUGUUAGAUGGUUGUAUUGAUGAAGCUCAAUGAGCGUUUGUCCCUGGUCGGCUUAUUACGGAUAAUGUCCUUACGGCUUAUGAAAUUAUACACACUUUUAAGAAUAGAAGGAAAUGGAAGAAGGGUUUUUUUGCUUUAAAGCUUGAUAUGAGUAAAGCAUACGACAGAGUUGAAUGGGGAUUUGUCACAGGUAUGAUGAGGAGUAUGGGGUUUGAUGAUAAAUGGGUGGAGUUGAUAAAUCAUUGUAUUUCUUCGGUCUCUUAUGCUGUUACGAUUAACAGAAGCUUGAGUGAGCCUUUUCAACCGGAACAGGGACUCAGACAAGGGGAUCCGUUGAGUCCCUAUUUGUUUCUUAUUUGUACUGAAGGUUUUUCAACAUUACUUAAACUAGCCAAGAGGGAUGGUCUUAUUCAAGGCGCACGUGUUUGUCGGGGGGGCCGAGGGUAACUAAUUUGUUUUUCGCGGAUGAUUACAUUAUCUUUGGAGAAGCAAAUGAGGAUGGCUGUAGGAUAAUGAAGGGAUUUCUUGAUGACUAUGAGAAAGCUUCAGGUCAAAAGAUUAAUUUAGACAAGUCUCAAAUUUUCUUUAGUUCUAACUAUUCUGAAGAAACUAGAGAGCUGUUGACAAAUUAUUUGGGUGUUAGGUCCGUAACGAGCAUGGAAAAGUAUUUGGGUCUGCCUACAAUGGUGGGGAGGAAGAAGAAUAAGGCUUUCCAAAGAUUGUGUGAUAGGCUGAGAACAAGAAUUGAUGGGUGGGAAAGUCGAAUAUUGUCUCAAGGGGGCAAAGAUGUCUUCAUCAAAGCAGUAUUACAGGCCAUACCGAUUUUUUUAAUGUCUUGUUUUUUGCUUCCAAAGUCAUUAUGUGCUGAAAUGGAAAAGAUUAUGAAUCGAUUUUGGUGGGGAAAAGGAGGUAAUAGGCAUGGUUUGCACUGGUCCUGCUGGACUGAUUUAUGUCAGUCUAAAGAGAAUGGGGGUCUAGAGAGAUUACCUGCUGUUAGAGAGGUGGAUAUCGAUCGAUGGAAACCCCCACAAGCUUCAUGGGUAAAAUUGAAUUUUGAUGCAGCCUACAAAGUUCAAUCGAAUAAGUCCCGUUCGGGGUUCAUCAUUAGAAACGAGAAAGGGGAAGUUAUGGGUAGUGGGAUUACUCUUCACUCCAACGUUUUGGAUGCGGGUUUGGCUGAAGCUUUAGCUUGCUAUCAAGGUCUCCUCUUUGCCAAAGAAAUGGGGUUAACAAAAGUAGAGGUUGAAGGAGAUGCACGGGUAGUAAUUGAGAAAAUCAAUCAGGAAGAAAAUGGUAGAGCACAUUUGGACUCGAUUAUAGCAGACAUCAAAGCAUUUGAAAGGUUUUUUCAUCAGAUUAGCGUUAAACAUGUUAGAAGAGAGGUUAAUCGAGUGGCUCAUCUCAUUGCUAGGGAGGGUUACAGUAGAUUAGAAAAUACAUUUUGGAUGGAAGACAUUCCGGCGAUGGCGAAAGAGCUGGUGGCUACUGAAGAGACGAGCAACGUUUUGUAAUCGACAGAAGGUUUUGUUCAAGGGUGUUUGGACUGGGCUGAUAAAUUCAUUGAAAGCCAUGCUUUAGUCACUAGAGAGAUUUACAUGGUGGUCUGGAGCUUUGUUUUACCGGGUUUCCACUUUACUUUUUCUUUUCUAUUGUUGUUUUUUUCAGAUGUUUUUGGUUUCUUUAACUAUUUUGAUUGGGUUUUGUUAGGUUUUAAUGGAAAUCACGGUUUUUAAUCAAAAAAAUAUGAAAAAAUUGUUCUCUUCAAACUGCAUGCCGUUAAAUUUGGAAGUGCUUGAGGUUUCAUUACGUGUCCAACUGGAGGAAAUAAUAGCAUUAGAUUUUGAAUGGGACAGAAGAGGAAUGCCUACCAUGGAAUUUUGCCUUCUAAAAUUAAACAUACUUGUACUGGAAUGCCUACCUGAAUUGAAAAGUAUUUGCAAUGUUGAUGCAGUGGUGGUUUGUGAAUCCCUUAGAUGGAUUGAUAUAAUAGAUUGUCGGAAAUUAAAAAGAGUGCCUUUUAGUCUUCCCCAAAUCCGAUCAUCUUCACCAACUCUCAUUUUCUAUUUAUGUAGCGAUAGAGGAGUGGUGGAAAUCUGUGAGUUAAAUCCAAAUUCAUUGAACUUUUUGCAAACUAUUUCACUUACCUUUGCUAUUUUUAGCCAAUAAAAUUCUUAUAUAUAUGGUUGGAAGCCAAUGCAACUUUUGGAUAAAAGCCAAAUUUAUCCUUUAAAAGAUUUUUUUUUUGGAAGAUUCUAGAAUAUAAAAUAAAGAAAUAGGAUAUUAUCUAUAAGACUAGAUAUUAUAUAUGAAUAUUCUAGUUAUUAAAUAUUUGUAAAAUUAAUAGUAAGGAUAUUGACAUGUAUCAACAAUCCAACGGCCACUAAACUCUAUAAAUAGGGGUAAAGGCUUUCAUUCUUGUAAUGAUGUAAGAGAGAAGUGUGUAUCAUAUUAUAAUUGUAUUGUGUAUUAAUAAGAGUGUUUUCUUCUUUUGUAAUUGUAAGUCUCGGUUAACCCUUAAGUUUCUAAACACUUAGUGCACUUGGAUUAGCUUUUAUAUAUAGUGCACUAAUAACUUAAAAAAUAAAAGAUUAAUCGACUUCAGAAAUUUAGUGUAGCAUUAAUUGUAGGUCCAGCGAAAUAUCCUUAAAGACAGUAUCCAACACGUCUCUAGUUAUUCAACUUGUAUUUUUUAUUCUUUAAAUUGAAUAUUUACAAGAAUACAUACCAACACUUUUAAUUCUUUGAUUUAUAUUCAUAUAUAUUUAUAUCAUCCAUAUUUAUUCAUACAUUCAAAGUUGGGAGAGCUGUUGUGAUUUCAUGAGCUUGGAGUAUUAAUUUAAUCCCAACAAAACCUUAACAAAUCAUCAGCAAAUGAGAUUCAGUUACAACUGAUUGGAUGAUCAAAGAAUAAAAAUUGUUUCUAUAGUUACGCACUGUAUCGUGAAGAUUCGAGAAUUCUAAAGGAAUAAUUGAUAAGGGAUUAGAUUGGAAAGGGAUUAAUAGAGGAUGUGGGUAACAUGGAAGCAAACUUUGCCAAGUGUCAGACUAUCCUAAGAACAUUAGUUGAUAGUUGAUUGUUUGAAAAUGUAGGAAAUGGAAGAGUGAAAAUGCAUGAUUUUGUAAUAGAUAUGGCUAAACUAAUCACCAAUGAGGUAUAUGAAUCAUGAAUUAAUAUUGCAACUUUAACCUAUGUAUAAUCAAGCUCCAACAUUUAUAAUUUUUUAUUAACUAAAAUGAUGCAAUAAAUCAAAAACAAUCAAAACUUAAAAUAAUUCAAAUUUAAUAAAAAUCAAAAUUAAAAUUAACUUUGUUGAUAUGGUAAUGCAACUAGAAGACAUGGGGAAGGACAUGGUUGUGAUUAUGGAGGUUGGUUCAUCCAGUUGGGAUAGAGAGCCAAAUACUACAAAGAGUGAGAAUGAAGAGAUAUGCAAACAAAGUGUUGAGGGGAACUUUUUUCAUCGUUCUUAGAAGUAUUUAUUGACGGGGUCCUGCAACAGCCCGAUUUUGGGUUUAGUCGGAACAGUAAUUUCAGGACCACAAAUUCGACGAGAAAAAAUCUAAUCGCCUAAAUUUUCAGGGGUGUCGGAACGGUGAUUCGAGAUCACUGAAUCCGACAAGUAAGUAAAAAAUAUUAUUAAUUUAGUGAGUAUAAGUUAAAUGUGAAGUUAAGAAAUUUUUUGAAAUAGUGAAUAGUGCACUAGAAAUAAAUAUUAAAAUAAUUAGAAUAAAAAAUGAGGUAUCGAGACCUCAGAGAUUUUAAACCGAGCCAUAAAUGUUUAUAAAAAUAUUUAUGGAGUGUUAAAAAGUUAGUAUUAAAGUUUCGUUAAGAAAUUUUAAAGUUUCGAUAAUUAAUUGAACAAAAAGGACUAAAUUGUAACAAAUCCAAAAUUAUGGUAAAUGAUUAAAUAGCUUAAAUGAUAAAAGGAAGAGGGCUUAAAAGGAAAAUAGACUCAAUGUCUAUUUGGGCCGGACGGUAAAGGCAUGAAAUCAGCAAGAAUGUACGAAGAAUUAAGGGCAAAAUUGGAAUAUUGCAAAAUUACUUAAUAAAGCUAGGAUCAAAGUGGAAUUAUCGAGAUUUCUCUUUAUUUUUCUGCAUUCUCAUCAGCUAAAACAGCAUAGAAGGGUUUUCUUAAGCUGGUUUUUCAUAUUUUUACUGCAAGUAAGUUCAAUUCUUGAUUAUUUCUUGAAAUUUUUGUGUUUUUGUGACUUUUACAACUAGGCCCACUUGUUGAAUUCAUUAGAUUUUGAUUUUAUGAAAGAAGUUGAAAGUUGCUAUGAAUAUGUGCUGGAAGUAUAUGAUGAUUUAGAAUGGAAUUAGAGCUAUCCUCAGAACACUAGUAGAUAAUUGUUUGUUAGAAAAUGUAGGAAAUGAAAGAGUGAAAAUGCAUGAUCUUGUUAGAGAUAUGGCUAAACUUAUCACUCAUAAGUUGUAUGAAUCAUGAAUUAACAUUGCAACUUUAACACAUGUAUUGUUAAGCUCCAACAUUUAUAUUUUAGAUCAAUUAAAAUCAUACAAUAAAAAACAACCAAUCAAAAUUUAAAAUAAUUCAAAUUUAAUAAAAAUAAAACCCAAAAUUAACUUUAUUGAUAUAGAAAUACAAUAAAGAGGAGAUAUGGGAAAGGACAUGGUGGUGAUUUUGGAGGUUGAUUUACCCACUUGAGAGCGGAGAGCUAAGGACUGCAAAGAGUGAGAUUGAAGAGUGUAUAUAGGCAAAAUGUUGAGGGUAAGUUGAUAGAGUAUAUGUUUGUAUGUUUGGAGAGUCAAUCAUUUCUUCAUCGUUCUUGGGGGUAUUUAUUGGAGAGGGUCUUGUGAAGGUUGUUAACAUGCUAAAUUUGCCAUCUAACCAUCAUUACGGAACGUGUGGGGAGGAUGUCUAUGAUGGGAUGAGAAUGCCUGUGAUGAGACAGAUCUUGUUAUUCAUUAUAAUACAAUAGUGCAGAGUAGUUGAGCUCACACGGGAGUUGGUAACCAACAAUAUCACGUUUUUAACAAAAGGCCAAGGGUUCAAAGUAAUGAGUAGUUCUUGUUUGUCUAGAUAGUUAGGACGAGAGAUGAAACUUGAGGCAGCCUUCCAAUUGGUGGUUGGCAAAUUUGUUGCCUAGGUGACCUUCUAACUUGUCACGUGUCCUUAUUCAAGUAGGAGUAUAAUAAACUCAAUUUUUUAAAGAUGUAAAUUAGUUCAAUCUAAGUUAAACAAGUUAAUUAUAAAAAUUAAUUCACAAAACAUUUAUGUUUUAGGAUUAUUUCCCAAGAUAUUUAUGUUUCUUUUUCUUUUUGAAAGGUACUUAGAUGGCCUAUCAAUAAGAACUUUUUGAACUUUAAAUCCUAAUCUAUUUUUUUUAGACACUAAACUUUAAAUUAAAAUAUUUAAUUAACUUUUAAAGAGCCCACUUUUAAAACAAAAAAGCCUAUGAAAUAUUGAAACCUACGCAACAACCCUUUGAAAUAUAAUAAAAAGCCAUGACAUCACAUGCAUACAAAACUUAUAUAAAUUUAAAAUUUUUAAACACAGUUACGAAGUCAUAAAAAUACAAACAGUCUUUUAAUUAAAUAUGGUAGGUGCAUUAAUUAAAUCUCAAUGCCCACCGAAGUUGACUUAAAGGAGUUGAUAUAUAGGAUUGAUAAAUCAGUUUUUAUGGGCUAUUUUACCAAUCUAGCCUAAAAAAAUUUGAUAUUUACAAAAAUGAUAUUGAUUCAAAAACAUUUACUAAAAUAACUUGAAAUGUACAGUAAAAUUAAGUUAUGAGAAAUAGAUAGCAGACACCACUUUUUUCUAUUAAAAAAAUAAUUUUUGAGGUUUUAGACACUAGAUAUGUAACACCUCCUAACUCUAAACCGUCGUCGGAACAGGGUUAUGAGAUAUUACCGGACAUAUCAAAUAAUUUACAAAUAAUUCUUAAAUAAAUAACCAACAUAUUAUAAUAAUUCAAAAAUUCAUAUAAAUUUUACUAAUUGAUUUCAUUCAUUUUUUUUAUAAAAAUUUCGGCAUCAUUUCUGCUUAUUUUUACAUAAAACCCCCUGCAAAAUUUCAAAACAUAACUAACCCAAUUCCAAUAUUUCAAUCAAGGCAUUUAUAUACUUAAACCUCACUUGACAUAUUGACAUAACAACUUAAUUAAUAAAAAUCCUAUUAUCAUUUCUAAUUAACUCAUAAAACUAAUCAAGUCAUUUCAAUUCGAGACCAAUGCCAUAAAAGACUUCUACUAUUUUACUAAUAUAAUCAUCAAAACACAUAAUAUCUUACUUUACAAUAAAACUAUAUAACAUACCAAAAUAACUAUUAUAAUUCUUAUGUACAUGCCACUUUCAUUUAAGGAAGAAAACAUCAUAGAAAUCUCUAUGCAGGAGUCGAGAUUGACCUGGAUGCUAAAUCGAGACUCAGACCCCUUUUUCAAUCCGCGCACAGAAACAACCAUACGCUGAGUAUUUUACACUCAGUAGUAUUACCAUAAUUCAAAUUAUAAUAGCAAUAAAGAAUUAUAAUUACGAAGCAUGUAACUAUCCGAUUUCUUAAAUAUCAAUUAAUUCAUAAACUUUCAUUAUUUAACAAUAGCAAUACAAUUUUUUUUAGCUAUUCUUCAUUCUCAAUCACAUAUCACAUGUAGCAAUUUCAAUCACUACAUAAACAUUAAAUUCAUGCAUUUUAUUUUCAAUAUCAAUUUCAAUUUGAAAUUUUAAAUUUUCUCAUAUUCAAUAUCACAAUCGAUCAAAUUCAUUUAAUUUUCUCAUUUCAAUUAUUCACCCUAUUAACAAUCUGGACUUUGACGGAUACAUGGAUUCCAACCCAAACACACUAGUACAGCACAUUGUGCCUAAAACGGUACAUAGUACCUGAUCAGUAUACGACACAUAAGUGCCUGAAACGACACACGAGGUGCCUGAUACGACACAUAAAGUGCCUGAUCGGCAAAGCCGAUAAAUCCCGUACUCUUCCAAAUCCUAUGGCAUGCCAACUAUAUCCGACUUAGCCCGACUAGUUAAUAGGGUAUUCAAAUUCUCAAUUCUCUUUGAUUUUCAAUUCAAGAUCACUUUUCCACUUUCUAAUCAAUUAACAAUUUAAUAUCAAUACAUAUUUCAAAUAAUCACAUAUAAUCAUAUUUCAAUUCAAUUCAAACCACUUUUCAAUCAUUACACAAUUCACAUAUUCACACAUAUUCAUAAAUUAAUUCACUUUAUUUAAUUCAUUUUUUAAAUCCAUUUUUUAAUCAAAUUCAAAUCACUAAAUACUUUUUAAUCAAUAUACAUUUCAAAUACUCACAUAUUUCCAUCAUUCAAUUUAAUUUGAUUCAAUUCAAGUCACUAUUAUCAUUCCAAUUGCUUACCUAAUUUUACUUACCAUGCAUUUUAAUUAAAAUAUAACAAUUAAUAAUAAAUAGAUUUGAAUUAUAGUAAUACAAACCCGAAUUUGCUCGAUUAUUCCUCAACGACCUUCUUCUUCCCUUUUUGUGGCGAUACCUCGAAUUAUUUAUUAGCUACGAAAAUUAAAUAAUUAAAUAAUUAAUUACAGCACAAAUUUUACAAUAAAAAUAAAAUUUCUAUCAAAUUUUAUAUUUUAAUUCCAAUUUAAUCCUAACUAGAUUUAUCUACUUUUCUAAUCUAAUUCAUACUCUAUUUCUAUUCAAAUUUCUUAUAAACUCAAAUUUAUCUACUAAUUUUCAGCAUUUUUCACUAAUUUUGAAUUUUCCUCAAUUUAAUCCCUAAAAUUCAAAACUUAUAGUUUAGUUUAAAAUUCAAUCCUUUAUUCAAUUCCAAAUAAAAUUUCUAUUAAAUAAAUCCUCAAUUCCAUCAUUUAUUCAACAUAAACCCUACUCAAAAAUCUAUUAACUUUCAAAUUUUCAACUUAAAUCCAAGAGUAUUUCAUUCUAGGAUUCCAAAAACAUCAAAUUUAUGAGAAAAGGACUUGAUUUAGUUUACCUAUUAAACUUCAAGCUUCAAAAUCUCAAUUUUCCCCCUUUCUUUUCUUUCCCUUUUCUUCCCCUGUUUUCGUCUCUUUCUCUGUUUCUUUUCUGUUCUUCUUCUCUUUUUCUGUUCUUUUAUUUCAUUUGUUUUCUUUUACUUUUUGUUAUAAUAAUAUAAUAUAUAAUAAUUAGUAUAAAUAUCUUUUACCACACAUGUCAUAUUCAUAACCAUACAUUUGUCUUAAUCUUAUUUAUUUCACAAUAUAAUAAUAUAGAAUAAUUUAUGCCGCCUCAAAUUUGGCAAUUAGCAUUAUUGCCCAUUUGACCCCUAUUAUUUUCCUUUAAUCUAUAAUUAAACUUUCACUUCUAUUGUAAUUUAAUCAUUUUUACUAAUUACUCUUAAUUAGACUAAAUUCACCUAAUUAAUACCUAAUUAAGCACUAAAUUAAACUCAUGAUUACUUUUAAUAAUUAUUUUCGAACUCAAUUUACUAAGACGGAGGCCCGAUAUUAUACUUUUCCGAUGCCCGUGAAUUUUUGGGUCAUUACAAGAUGGUUGGCACAAUGUAUUUUUUUUCAAAAAAAAAAUUUUUGGGUACUGGCACACUGAUGGCCGGCACCCCUUUAUCUGAUUAAAAAAAUAUUUUUUGGGGGGAAAGUGGUGCCGGCCAACAAAGGGCCAAAAUCACCCAACAAAAAAAAUUGGAAAUAUUUCAACAUAACCCCUCCUUGUUUUCUCAUCUUUUUUAUUUCCCAAAUUUAAUUACAUAUUUUAUAUUUUAAAACAAUAUUGAACUACUUAUCAUAUUUUUUAAUUAUUAUUGCACCACUCAAAUUAUUAUUAAAUUUAAAAACUACUUUAAAAUAUAUUGAACUACAUAUUUUAUAAAAUUUAAAAUUUUCAUGAUUGAAUUUUUCCAUCUUUUUGAAUUUUCAUAUUUUUUAAAAAUUUUUGUUUUUAUUUUGUUAAAUGUAACUUGAUUGUUGUUAAACUCAAGUAUAAAUAAUAAAUUAAGCCUAAAAAAAUAUAUUUAUUUUUAAAAAUAUUUAUUAAUUUUAAUACUGAAUUUUAUAAUUGUGAAAAUAUAUUAAAAUGCUAAAUACAAUAUCCAAAAUGACAGUAAUUGAUACUAAACUAGUUAAUUUUCAAAUCAAUAAUUUAAAAUUAAUUUAAAUUUAAUAUGCACAAUCAAAUUAUAUGUUUUUUUUAUAAAAUUAGAAUAUGCUUUUAUGAUUUUCAUCCUUUAUAAUAAUUCAAAUAAAUAUUGCUAAAUUAUUUUUUAUUUUAAAAAAUAAUGAGUAAUAUAUUUAUAAAAUAUGUAGUUCAAUAUAUUUUAAAUUAAUUUUUAAAUUUAAUAAUAAUGUGAGUGAUGCAAUACUAAUUAAAAACAUGAUCAUAUUAUUUUAAAAUAUAAAAUAUGUAAUUAAACUUGGGAAAUAAAAAAGAUGAGAAAACAAGGAGGGGUUAUGUUGCAAUAUUCCCAUUUUUUUUGUUGGGUGAUUUUGGCCCUUUGUUGGCCCACACCACUUUCCCCCAAAAAAUAUUUUUUAAUCAUAUAAAAAAGGUAUCGGCCAUAAGUGUGCUAGCAUCCAAAAAAAAAAUUGAAAAAAAAGACAUGGUGCCAGUCAUCUAGUGUCCAAAACCUCAAAAAUUAUUUUUUAAUAGAAAAAAGUGGUGCCGGCCAUCUAUUUCCCAUAACCUAAUUUUACUGUUUAUUUCAAGUAAUUUUGGUGAAUGUUUUUGAAUCAGGGUCAUUUUUAUAAAUGUCAAAUUUUUUUAGGUUAGAUUGGUAAAAUAGCCGUUUUUAUAAUAUCAUCAUUCAUUUUAUUAUUAAAAAUUAAUAAGAUACUUUUAAAAAUUAUGGUUUAUAUAUUUUUUAUAUUAGAAAAUUUUGAUAAUUUAUUUUUUAUUUUACAAACUACCUUAAAAAAUUAAUAUAUUUUUAUUUUUUUAAAUAUUUUAACAACAGUGUAACCAAUAAUUUCAUUACAUUUAAAUAAAAAUAUCUUUUCCCCACCCUUGAAAACUUCAAUCAAGACUUCAUAAAAGACCAGGCCCCCUUGUUAGUUUACAAAAAAAGGGAGCUUCGGAAAUGGAAGUGGAGUCUGUCCUUGCUUUGCUGUUGAUAAAUGCCCUUGCGUUUUCGCAGCUUAAUCUGGCAGUUGAGGCGGCUGAGUCUGUUCCUCUAUCACCAUCGGAUGAUUUCUCGAAAGAGUUGAAAGCUUUGUCUAGGAGGAGUCGGCGAAUAACUCCACCAUCACCCAGGAUUAAUGCUCCUGUUCACUUCAAAAGGCCUCCUCUAUUACCUCGACCUCCUCCGCCGCCACGGUCACCACCACCUCCAUGUCUGUGGUGUCCACCUACUCCGUUUGGAUAAGACGAUUGUUUCCCAGAUUUCACACAAUUGAUGAAGCUCUCAUGUCAUCAGCUUUUGUUUGUAAAUUGUAAAACUUUAAAGUGCUUGUAUGUUAGCAGCAAAUACCAGCUUUGUUUAGCUCUAAUAAUAAUUAAAUUUGUAAUGAUAAAAAUAAUAAUAUGUUAAAUACAAAAAUGAAUAAAUGUAUGCAUCACUUUCACUUAAACACUCGUUAAGAAAUUGUUUAAUAAGUAUCCCUUGUCUUCCCUUCCCAUCUCUUUGAAGUCUCCCGACCAUCUCUAUAUGCAGCAUAAAUGAUGAGCAGCUCCCCAUCAACGAGGACCUGGGUCCUCAAAGGCCAACUAAAAAACAACAAUCUCUACGUCUAUGGAGCCUGGACUGCAGAAACUGAGAAACCUCCAAUUCCAAGCUCCCUGGUUCGGUGCGAAGGGCAUUAAAUACCCAACCACCAUAUUUAUAUUGGCCACUCCACUCUAGAGGUGAUCAUGAACCGGGACAGGUCCGGUUUGAGUCAGGUCCGGAUAAAAUUUUAAGUCCAUUUUAUAGGUCCGGACUCGACUCGGCCCGAAAUAUAGGUAUAAAAAUUUGUCUAAGCCCCGCUCAAAAAAAUUGUUAAGUCCGAACUCGACCUAGCC